RNAcentral lists this microRNA precursor (103 nucleotides) under Marmota monax (woodchuck). Lineage: Eukaryota; Metazoa; Chordata; Mammalia; Rodentia; Sciuridae. The record is from RNAcentral.
AGUGGUAUAACUGGGUCGAAUGGUGGUUCCAUUCCAGGCUUUCUGAGAAUCUCCAUACUGCUUUCCAGAGUGGUUUUUACCAAUUUGCAGUCCCAUCAGCAAU